AACGAACGCUGGCGGCAUGCCUAACACAUGCAAGUCGAACGAGACCUUCGGGUCUAGUGGCGCACGGGUUCGUAACGCGUGGGAACCUUCCCUUAGGGUCGGAAUAACUCCCCGAAAGGGGUGCUAAUACCGGAUAAUGUCUUCGGACCAAAGAUUUAUCGCCUUUGGAUGGGCCCGCGUUGGAUUAGCUAGUUGGUAGGGUAAAAGCCUACCAAGGCGACGAUCCAUAGCUGGUCUGAGAGGAUGAUCAGCGACACUGGGACUGAGACACGGCCCAGACUCCUACGGGAGGCAGCAGUGGGGAAUAUUGGAAAAUGGGGGAAAGGAUGAUCCAGUACUGCCGCGUGAGUGAUGAAGGUAUUAGAGUUGUAAAGCUCUUUUACCCGGGAUGAUAAUGACAGUACCGGGAGAAUAAGCUCCGGCUAACUCCGUG
RNAcentral lists this ribosomal RNA (433 nucleotides) under uncultured bacterium. Its description in RNAcentral is "partial 16S ribosomal RNA". It matches the Rfam family "Bacterial small subunit ribosomal RNA", at positions 29 to 507 of the family's 1533-position model. The record is from RNAcentral.